UACGUAGGGGGCAAGCGUUGUCCGGAUUUAUUGGGCGUAAAGAGCGUGUAGGCGGCCAUACAGGUCCGUUGUGAAAACUGGAGGCUUAACCUCCAGACGUCGAUGGAAACCGUAUGGCUAGAGUCCGGAAGAGGAGAGUGGAAUUCCUGGUGUAGCGGUGAAAUGCGUAGAUAUCGAGAGGAACACCUGCGGCGAAGGCGGGUUGCUGGGCUGACACUGACGCUGAUGCGCGAAAGCCAGGGGAGCGAACGGG
Molecule: ribosomal RNA, 253 nt
Filed under: uncultured bacterium
Lineage: Bacteria
Description: partial 16S ribosomal RNA
Rfam family: Bacterial small subunit ribosomal RNA
Source: RNAcentral